CUUCUAUGAUGAGACAAAUUUUUUCAGUUCUGCUUCUGCAAACAUCUUGAAGAAAAACAAAUACCUUACCAAAAACUCCUGAUUA
RNAcentral lists this small nucleolar RNA (85 nucleotides) under Aspergillus rambellii. The record is from RNAcentral. Lineage: Eukaryota; Fungi; Ascomycota; Eurotiomycetes; Eurotiales; Aspergillaceae.